Molecule: unclassified non-coding RNA, 282 nt
Filed under: uncultured fungus
Lineage: Eukaryota; Fungi
Description: sequence contains ITS2
Rfam family: 5.8S ribosomal RNA (bases 1-52)
Source: RNAcentral
AACGCACCUUGCGCUCCUUGGUAUUCCGAGGAGCAUGCCUGUUUGAGUGUCGUGAAAUUAUCAACUCCCUUUCUUUAUUGAGAGGUGAGCUUGGACUUGGGGACUUGCUGGUGCAAAUUGGCUUCCCUUGAAUGCAUUAGCUGGAAUUUGAUUCGCAGCAUAUAUGCGGUGUGAUAAUGUCGUCACUGUGUAGCUCGGAUUGUCUGGCUUCUAAUCGUCCUUCACGGGACAAUUUGAUCUUUUUGACCUCAAAUCAGGUAGGACUACCCGCUGAACUUAAGC